GGGAGGAGCCAACUUCCCCCAAAGCUCUGGCUGCAUCCGAGCGGGGUGCUUACCCGAAGGAAGUGCUGGGAGCUAGAGGGAGGCAGGAGGGGAAGGAGUGCUUGGUGGCAGACCCCACUGUCUGCUCUCGGAAAUGGGAGUCGGAGCAAGCCACCCUGAGCUGAUAACGAAGCCUCUCCUCCUGCCUCCGUCACUGGGCUGGCCCUGCGCUGGGUGCCAGGAUUGCUUCGGGGCGCAGAGCCUCGCCAGCAGGAGCAGCGCCUAAGAGGCCACCGGGGAGCAGAAGCUCAGCGAAGCUGAGGGACGCCCGCAGGAGGAACAUGCCUUGGACACUGGAAUCAGGGAGCCCCCCAGGAGCUGUGUGGCCUUAAGCAUAUUUCUUCCUGCUCUGAGCCUCAUCCAUAAACUGAGAACAGAAGUGGCGCCUCCAGGGGCGUAGGCCCUCCCCUCCUCUCUAAUAUGGACAAGCGAUUUCCCCAAUCCUGGGUAAAGGGCUGGAAAAACCUCAAGCCCUAUUCCAAGCAGACUGCCCUCCUAAGUGUCUCCACCCCCAAGUCUGGAGCUUCCGCAGAUCUCUUAUAAAGAGAUUAUGAAGACUGAAUGAGCAUGGAAAAUGCUUACCACUGCGUCUGGACCUAAGAAGCACCCAACCCUGGCCACGAUUAUUAUGACCUGAUGUGCAGUCUUCAAUAGCUCUGUGCCUCAGUUUCCCCAUCUGCAAAAUGGGGGUAACAAUAACACAAGAUCUCCUAGGGUGGGGCUUAAGUGAGCUGUUCUAGGAAAAACACGCAACACAGUGCCUGGUCCGUAGGAAAGUCUCCGUAAAUGUUGGCCAGUAAGUAGUUAAAUGUGGAAAUAAUUAAACAAUUGAGAGGCAGUGGUGCCUGGUGAAAAUAACGUGGUCUGUAAUUUCACAUAGACUGUGUCCAGGUUUUACCGCUUAUUAGCUUUUAGUAGAAAAGUUCUGCACCCUCUGGGAGCCAUCGUUUCUUCUCUUCCAAAUGGGGACCAUGAU
This 1015-nucleotide long non-coding RNA is filed under the name Equus caballus (horse). RNAcentral describes it as "lncRNA (ENSECAG00000050179.1)". The record is from RNAcentral. Lineage: Eukaryota; Metazoa; Chordata; Mammalia; Perissodactyla; Equidae.